Molecule: non-coding RNA, 46 nt
Filed under: Schistosoma haematobium
Lineage: Eukaryota; Metazoa; Platyhelminthes; Trematoda; Strigeidida; Schistosomatidae
Source: RNAcentral
GCACUGCUGAGGAGUCUUAAAAUAGGACGAAACGGCUGUCUAGUGC